GGUCUUAUAUUCAAUUAUGAUUUUAAAGUGCAAAUUUAAAGGUAGAGUAAUCUUAAGGCUU
Molecule: transfer RNA, 61 nt
Filed under: Gastrallus laevigatus
Lineage: Eukaryota; Metazoa; Arthropoda; Insecta; Coleoptera; Ptinidae
Description: tRNA-Cys
Source: RNAcentral